Molecule: ribosomal RNA, 448 nt
Filed under: uncultured bacterium
Lineage: Bacteria
Description: bacterial SSU rRNA
Rfam family: Bacterial small subunit ribosomal RNA
Source: RNAcentral
GUGACGGUACNUGCANAAGAAGCACCGGCUAACUAUGUGCCANCNGCCGCGGUAAUACAUAGGGUGCAAGCGUUGUCCGGAAUUAUUGGGCGUAAAGAGCUCGUAGGUGGUUCGUCACGUCGGAUGUGAAAAUCUGGGGCUNAACCCCNGACCUGCAUUCGAUACGGGCGAGCUAGAGUGUGGUAGGGGAGACUGGAAUUCCUGGUGUAGCGGUGGAAUGCGCAGAUAUCAGGAGGAACACCAAUGGCGAAGGCAGGUCUCUGGGCCAUUACUGACACUGAGGAGCGAAAGCGUGGGGAGCGAACAGGAUUAGAUACCCUGGUAGUCCACGCCGUAAACGGUGGGCACUAGUUGUGGGAACCUUCCACGGUUUCUGCGACGCAGCUAACGCAUUAAGNGCCCCGCCUGGGGAGUACGAUCGCAAGAUUAAAACUCAAANGAAUUGACG